ACAGGAAAAGGAUAAAGAGAAGAUCUACUGUACAAGAGUAUGAGACCAAUGAUCCCAGUGCAAGCUCAUAUGCAGCUCUAGACCUCAAAUCUAGAUCUAAUGACCUGUACAACACGCUCACAACUGUCCCUCCCACACCUGCUGUUCACCAGUCGGGAUCUUCUGAUUAUGAGAAUCUGCCACCGUAUCACAAGACGCCACAGUAAUAUGAAGCGCAAAUUAAACUUUACUCAACUUUUGUCGCAUUUCUGGACAACCACAUCACAACUCCUGAUGAAAAUGAACAGUGUUGGGGAAAGUUACUUUUAAAAGAAAUGCAUUACAAUAUUGC
Molecule: long non-coding RNA, 331 nt
Organism: Sinocyclocheilus rhinocerous
Lineage: Eukaryota; Metazoa; Chordata; Actinopteri; Cypriniformes; Cyprinidae
Exons: 4
Source: RefSeq, a predicted model, not a curated record